Long non-coding RNA from Anguilla anguilla (European eel), 2187 nucleotides. RefSeq lists it as uncharacterized. Lineage: Eukaryota; Metazoa; Chordata; Actinopteri; Anguilliformes; Anguillidae. The transcript has 2 exons. The record is from RefSeq and is a predicted model, not a curated record.
CAGAGCAGAGAGCACAGCCUGCGUUUCCCCUGGAGUGGAGAGCACAGCCUGCGUUUCCCCUGGAUGGUGUCGCUGGCUCAGAGCGGCCCUUCGAUAGCGGCCCCGUUCUGAAGCUGUCUCCACCCGCUGUUCCCGAUACCUGCCGAAGGCGGCAGGUGGGGCUUCUCUGCAUCACCAGAGAAAAAUAAUCUUGCGCGAUCAGAGAUGACACCUUGACAGGUGAGGUGAGACGUCUGUUUUUUUGUGGCGCAAAUGCAGCACACGCCUGGCUUUUGUAGAUACCGCCACUCCCCGUGCUGUGAUCUCAGCAUUUAUAAUUGUUCAGUCAGCAUUCUGGUACAAAAUGGCUUCCUCGCAUCACCCAGGUGGGUGAUGGACAUCAGUUGUUGUUGAGUUCGAGACCACCCCCCCCCCACUUUACUGUAAAGCACUUCUAGGUUGUGACAGGCACUGUACCAGUGCAAACCGAAUAUAAUAGCUUUUUUGUGUCUGGUGUAGCUUUGUAUUUGAUUUCCAUGGAAUGUGUGGCACAGGCUGCAGCACUGAAGGAAAUUAACUAAAAAUAAAAAUGUGAUUAAUUUAAAUCCUGCCGUCCUGCGAUCAGUGCGUGGUCAGUGGUGACAGUGACAGUCACCUGGUUAAGAAUCCCACAGUGCAUUGCAGCGAUGGUGCGAAUCCCACAGUGCAUUGCAGCGAUGGUGCAUAGUAGGAGUUUCCUAGCAACAGGCUGAGCUGAGAACACCGGCUCUUUCGGUAAGACCACGUGCCCGUCAGUGUUAAAAACCUGAGCGCCCAUGAGAUGGGACAGGAGGUGGCCACGUUUCGCGGGUGGACCUGGGGUGACUCCAGGGCAGGGAACAAAACACACACACACACACACACACACACACAGACACACACACGGUGUUUCCAUACCAGCAGUCCUGCACACAGUGUCACAAUGCGCAGGAGACUCACUGCUUGAAAAGUAGGGCAAAGUUCAGGCCUGAUGCAAACUUGAGUAAGACCACCCCACAUCCAGCCACCCCAUCACACAUGUUCAGGGGAACUUACACCCAGCCGGGAAUGAAUCCUUUUAAAGACAAUCCUGGUUCUCUUCCAAAAAAAUUUUUCAAAUGCACUAACUGGCUGUUCAUAACACUUGCGCAAAAAAUGCAGCUGAAAGUUCAUUUUGCACACCAAUGUGAGGUAACUCAGCUAGCGUUCCCCAGACUUCCAUAUAAACCCCUCCCAUCCCAACACGUAGAGAGACAAAAACGACUGAAAUAAUGUGCAAUAAUUUAUUCAGAAUUCUGACCAUGAACAUUCCAGACAGUUGAUAAAUAAACAAUAUAUUACUCUCAGUUUUACCAGAGUAAAACAAUGAAGGAUAAUUUAAAAAACACAUAUAGCAUGUGCAUGAUCCCUGUUUCACAUUAAACUUGUGACAGGCGUGCAUACAUUAUCACAUUGUGGGGAAAACAACACAUGCCUGUUUUUAAUCAAAAACAUCAGCUGGUAUUGCAAGUAAAAUUAAAUGACAGUGUGCAACAGUCAUUUUCUUUGUCCAUUAUUUGACAUCAUCAUGUCUAUCUGUGCAGCCGCCCAUACCCUCACGUCGCCGCCAACUCCAGUCCGUGACAAUAACGAAAUCGCCGCGGUCCACCCACUGUGUUCUCAACGCUGCCCGCGCGCGCCCUCGCGCUGGGCGCGCAGCUGUCACGCUCAAACAGCUCGCGCGUCAGUCCAGUUAACUGUCACUUGGCACAAAUGCGCUCUUCCGGAUUCACGGGAAAGUAGGACAGAUACGCUGUCCCUUCGGACUGUUUCGCCAUCCCCUCCCUUAUCCCAGCUCCAUCCAAGUGGGAUAUUCUACAGGACCCGUCGUCGUAUCUUUCCGUACGCGGCGCUGGGCGUCUUUCUUAACUCAGUUAAGAACGACCAUUUAAAAUUCCGGCGCUUUCGCUGGUCUGGUUCCACUUCGUCUGGUAGUGUCUGUUCAGCGCUCAUGCAGGGCGAGCGACGGUAUCCACUCGUUCUUGCAGCGACUCUCCUUGCAGAAUCUCCCAACCUCCUUUAGCGCCGGGCACUUCAGAUCGUCAACAUGAGGAUUCUAAAAGGGAAGGGGGAAACGGGUUAGACACGCGUUCUGAAAUAAUCUUUCCGCAAUCUUAAGUCACAGUUUGACGCCAUGUGGUCCAUCGUACC